Molecule: ribosomal RNA, 429 nt
Filed under: Bacteroidota bacterium
Lineage: Bacteria; Pseudomonadati; Bacteroidota
Description: Bacteroidetes bacterium partial 16S ribosomal RNA
Rfam family: Bacterial small subunit ribosomal RNA
Source: RNAcentral
UAGGGAAUCUUCCGCAAUGGACGCAAGUCUGACGGAGCAACGCCGCGUGAGUGAAGAAGGAUUUCGGUUCGUAAAACUCUGCUGUUAGAGAAGAACAGCGCAUAGAGUAACUGUUAUGCGUGUGACGGUAUCUAACCAGAAAGCCACGGCUAACUACGUGCCAGCAGCCGCGGUAAUACGUAGGUGGCAAGCGUUGUCCGGAUUUAUUGGGCGUAAAGCGAGCGCAGGCGGUCAAUUAAGUCUGAUGUGAAAGCCCCCGGCUCAACCGGGGAGGGUCAUUGGAAACUGGUUGACUUGAGUGCAGAAGAGGAGAGUGGAAUUCCAUGUGUAGCGGUGAAAUGCGUAGAUAUAUGGAGGAACACCAGUGGCGAAGGCGACUCUCUGGUCUGUAACUGACGCUGAGGCUCGAAAGCGUGGGUAGCAAACAGG